AUAACGGCCUGUCAGCCCCUAAGAAGAGAUGAAGAAAUUUAUCUCCCCCCACCUUGUUAGAGAGAUGGGGGUCUAUGAUGUGCAAAUCAAGUCAGAACUUUUAUUAGUAUUCACUGUCAUUAGCUUUUAGGUUGGCUUUGCCCAUUUUUAUUUUUGCAAUGAAAAGCUCAUUGUCUAGGGAUUUAGAUGUGCCAAGUGAGAGAACAUGAGGGGUUUGUUCAGAGGAGUAUAAUCAGAACAAAUGAUUAUGAUGUAAGGACAAAAAUAAUUGAUGUAAAGAGUGGGAAAAAAAUCAAUCUAUCAAGACUUAAACUAUUAAUCUUUUCCUAUACAACAACCUAACAGGUCUUUGUUUUGCUAUGAUAAAAAAAAAAAUAACUGACAUUUUUAUGAUAAAAUAUAAUAUGUGGCCCUCUAUAUUAUCCAAAGACCCCUUCAGACGAUGAACAUAUUGGCAAAGGUGAUUAGCUUUUGUUCAUAUACUAAAGCCUGAGUUAAAGAAACAGGAAAAAAGCAAACUUUUAGGAGAGAGAUAAUUAAAUGAGAUUGAGACAUUGUCACUGAGAAAAAGAUUGGGGAGAAUGGACAGGGAAUUGGCAAAGAAACACCCAAACCAAAAUGUUCCUAUUUCCUAAUCUUGUUCCUUCCCUACUUUAAACCUCUACAAGCCCAGGGACAAGACUGGGUUUUCUAGAAAGUUCCCCUGCCCUGCCCACUUGACUAUAGCCCUGCCUAAUGCCAUCACCUUCUAUGACAUCAUGGGGAUGGAAUGAAAGUCCUGAGCGAGAGGCUUGAGAAUAUGCAGGUCGGACAGGAAGGCAUCAUUUGGAAAAGAAAAGCGGUGUUAUCCAGAAGAGUUGGUGCUGCUUCUGUGGAGAAAAAACAGAGCAUCCUAAUAUUGCUGAUUUUGUCGCUCUAUGUGGCCAUGUGGAUAUCAGAAAAAAGCGCAGACAGCACAAAAGGGAUCCAAGAAUGCAAUUACUCUAGGAGUCAUGAAGCUUCCAAGAGCUUUGAUGAUCAAUUCAAGAAUCAACCAAAGGAACCAGUGAGGGCUAUGGGACUAUGGUUGAGAGAGAACCUGGACACCCUUCAGGAGAGAAUGGAACAAGAAGUAAGGGCCCUGGAACAACGGGUGAAAGACCUGGAAGAAUGGCUAGAUUAUCACUUACGGGAUCUAGGGCCAGAUGAAAAGUGUGUAACCCUCACGAAUCACUUAUGAGCAUUCUGGCGAUGAAGCUGGAAUGGCCUAUUCAUGGAGCUGAUGAAAACACUUCUGACUGCAAUGCAAUAUGACAAGAACAGGCUUGGUUACUAACUGCUCUAUGUGGUAAAACAAAGAAUAAAAUAAUUUGAAAACCAAGCA
Molecule: long non-coding RNA, 1363 nt
Filed under: Monodelphis domestica (gray short-tailed opossum)
Lineage: Eukaryota; Metazoa; Chordata; Mammalia; Didelphimorphia; Didelphidae
Description: lncRNA (ENSMODG00000039106.1)
Source: RNAcentral